Molecule: ribosomal RNA, 253 nt
Filed under: uncultured bacterium
Lineage: Bacteria
Description: partial 16S ribosomal RNA
Rfam family: Bacterial small subunit ribosomal RNA
Source: RNAcentral
UACGUAGGGUGCGAGCGUUAAUCGGAAUUACUGGGCGUAAAGCGUGCGCAGGCGGUUUUGUAAGUCAGAUGUGAAAUCCCCGAGCUCAACUUGGGAACUGCGUUUGAAACUACAAAACUAGAAUAGGUCAGAGGGGGGUAGAAUUCCACGUGUAGCAGUGAAAUGCGUAGAGAUGUGGAGGAAUAUCAAUGGCGAAGGCAGCCCCCUGGGAUCAUAUUGACGCUCAUGCACGAAAGCGUGGGGAGCAAACAGG